RNAcentral lists this ribosomal RNA (260 nucleotides) under uncultured Gardnerella sp. Its description in RNAcentral is "partial 16S ribosomal RNA". It matches the Rfam family "Bacterial small subunit ribosomal RNA", at positions 98 to 356 of the family's 1533-position model. Lineage: Bacteria; Bacillati; Actinomycetota; Actinomycetes; Bifidobacteriales; Bifidobacteriaceae. The record is from RNAcentral.
CGGAACGGGUGAGUAAUGCGUGACCAACCUCGCCCCAUGCUCCAGAAUAGCUCUUGGAAACGGGUGGUAAUGCUGGAUGCUCCAACUUGACGCAUGUCUUGUUGGGAAAGUGUUUAGUGGCAUGGGAUGGGGUCGCGUCCUAUCAGCUUGUAGGCGGGGUAAUGGCCCACCUAGGCUUCGACGGGUAGCCGGCCUCGAGAGGGCGGACGGCCACAUUGGGACUGAGAUACGGGCCCAGACUCCUACGGGAGGCAGCAGCG